CCUACGGGAGGCAGCAGUGGGGAAUAUUGGGCAAUGGGCGAAAGCCUGACCCAGCGACGCCGCGUGCGGGAUGAAGGCCUUCGGGUUGUAAACCGCUUUCAGCAGGGAAGAAGCGAAAGUGACGGUACCUGCAGAAGAAGCACCGGCUAACUACGUGCCAGCAGCCGCGGUAAUACGUAGGGUGCAAGCGUUGUCCGGAAUUAUUGGGCGUAAAGAGCUCGUAGGCGGUUUGUCACGUCGGAUGUGAAAACUCGAGGCUUAACCUCGAGCCUGCAUUCGAUACGGGCAAACUAGAGUUCGGUAGGGGAGACUGGAAUUCCUGGUGUAGCGGUGGAAUGCGCAGAUAUCAGGAGGAACACCGGUGGCGAAGGCGGGUCUCUGGGCCGAUACUGACGCUGAGGAGCGAAAGCGUGGGGAGCAAACAGGAUUAGAUACCCCAGUAGUC
RNAcentral lists this ribosomal RNA (445 nucleotides) under uncultured bacterium. RNAcentral's name for it is "bacterial SSU rRNA". It matches the Rfam family "Bacterial small subunit ribosomal RNA", at positions 338 to 795 of the family's 1533-position model. The record is from RNAcentral.